GAUGAACGCUGGCGGCGUGCCUAAUACAUGCAAGUAGAACGCUGAAGGAGGAGCUUGCUCUUCUGGAUGAGUUGCGAACGGGUGAGUAACGCGUAGGUAACCUGCCUGGUAGCGGGGGAUAACUAUUGGAAACGAUAGCUAAUACCGCAUGACAACAGUUAUUGCAUGAUAACUGUUUAAAAGGGGCAACUGCUCCACUACCAGAUGGACCUGCGUUGUAUUAGCGAGUUGGUGAGGUAACGGCUCACCAAGGCGACGAUACAUAGCCGACCUGAGAGGGUGAUCGGCCACACUGGGACUGAGACACGGCCCAGACUCCUACGGGAGGCAGCAGUAGGGAAUCUUCGGCAAUGGACGGAAGUCUGACCGAGCAACGCCGCGUGAGUGAAGAAGGUUGUCGGAUCGUAAAGCUCUGUUGUAAGAGAAGAACGAGUGUGAGAGUGGAAAGUUCACACUGUGACGGUAUCUUACCAGAAAGGGACGGCUAACUACGUG
Molecule: ribosomal RNA, 495 nt
Filed under: uncultured bacterium
Lineage: Bacteria
Description: partial 16S ribosomal RNA
Rfam family: Bacterial small subunit ribosomal RNA
Source: RNAcentral